RNAcentral lists this ribosomal RNA (408 nucleotides) under uncultured bacterium. RNAcentral describes it as "partial 16S ribosomal RNA". It matches the Rfam family "Bacterial small subunit ribosomal RNA", at positions 28 to 526 of the family's 1533-position model. The record is from RNAcentral.
GACGAACGCUGGCGGCGUGCUUAACACAUGCAAGUCGAACGAAGUGGCGAACGGGUGAGUAACGCGUAAUCAACCUGCCCUCCUGAGGGGGACGACGGUUGGAAACGAAUGCUAAUACCGCAAACUGCAGGUGGGGAUUGCGUCUGAUUAGCUAGUUGGUGGGGUAACGGCCCACCAAGUCGAUGAUCAGUAGGCGGGCGGGUAGGAUGAACGGCCAAGUUGGGACUGAGACACGGCCCAGACUCCUACGGGAGGCAGCAGUGGGGAAUCAUCCGCAAUGGACGAAAGUCUGACGGAGCAACGCCGCGUGAGUGAUGACGGCCUUCGGGUUGUAAAGCUCUGUUAAUCGGGACGCGGUACCGGAAUAGAAAGCCACGGCUAACUACGUGCCAGCAGCCGCGGUAAUUC